CCCUGCGUGACUGGCGACUCUAGGCUUCGGGGCCUAGGUGGGUUUACCACAAGGAAGCGCAGGGUUUCGGCGGUUAGGUUCGUCCCGUCCGGGGCGUGGCCGCGCCGCCCGCCGUUCGCCUGGGCAGCCG
Molecule: non-coding RNA, 130 nt
Filed under: uncultured Pigmentiphaga sp.
Lineage: Bacteria; Pseudomonadati; Pseudomonadota; Betaproteobacteria; Burkholderiales; Alcaligenaceae
Source: RNAcentral